GGAUCGGGAGGCCACCAUUGGGCAGGUGGCCAGGCAUUGAUCCGAACCCCCUGUUUCGAAAGGGCGUGGCACCGGGAGGCCCCGACGGUGCCUGCG
Molecule: non-coding RNA, 96 nt
Filed under: Oceanicola sp. S124
Lineage: Bacteria; Pseudomonadati; Pseudomonadota; Alphaproteobacteria; Rhodobacterales; Roseobacteraceae
Description: Rhodo-rpoB RNA
Rfam family: Rhodo-rpoB RNA
Source: RNAcentral